UACGGAGGAUCCGAGCGUUAUCCGGAUUUAUUGGGUUUAAAGGGUGCGCAGGCGGGAGAUUAAGUCGGCGGUGAAAUUUUGCAGCUCAACUGUAAAAGUGCCUUCGAAACUGGUUUCCUUGAGUGUGGAUGAAGUAGGCGGAAUUUGUGGUGUAGCGGUGAAAUGCAUAGAUAUCACGAGGAACUCCGAUUGCGCAGGCAGCUUACUAAACCAUAAUUGACGCUCAGGCACGAAGGCGUGGGGAUCAAACAGGAUUAGAUACCCCGGUAGU
Molecule: ribosomal RNA, 271 nt
Filed under: uncultured prokaryote
Description: partial 16S ribosomal RNA
Rfam family: Bacterial small subunit ribosomal RNA
Source: RNAcentral